AAGCUGUCUAUUUGGGUGACAUCAUCACUGGAGAGCAGGCUGCCCUGGCAGAAAAGACGAAGGAUAUACCAGUCCCAGUCUGACUUACCUCCAGAAGUGAUAGAAAAGUAGAGGGACAUUCAGCCCCAGCGUGAGCCACUCUUGCGCACACAGGAACAUAAUGCAGAAGAGGCUAUGGAUGGAGUAUUCUGGCAGCACCAGCUGAAGAGGGAGCAGAGACACGGCCCUGAGUUAGAGGAGGAAAACGCCACUCCUGCUUCUAUGGCAGCUGACUUCUGCCUGGACACUGCCUCUCACAGACGGUUGACACAAAGGCCCUCCCUGCAGCAACGUAGAGCCACUGCCCCAACACAGAUCCAUUUCUGAUACGCAUCAAGAGCCUACUAUGAGGUGUCAAACACUGUGGCAGGCACUGGAGGUGCCAGGAUGAGUUCAAUGAGCCUGGUGACAAUGUUCCAGGCACCCCCAGGCUGAUGGGAGAGACCGACAGCUGAACACUGGACCAUGCCGCAGCCAGCACUCACACACUGACUGAAGCUCUAGCGCUGGCUGGUCCCUUACAGGUGAGUACAGUUGGUCACAAAGGGUGUGGACAAAGAAGAAUCCAUGGAAAUUCAAACUCAACUCAACUCUCCAGGCUUUGAGCACCCAAUGCCCUGGAUUAAAUAUGGCAGGAGGCCCAGCAAAGACCUUACAAUAGAUCGGGAGAGAUAAACCGAAAACCUAAGUGACUAUAUAAUCCAAGGCUGAAUAUAGGGAGAAGCAAAAUAGAAGGAUAAGCAUAAUAGGGUCAAAGGAGGAGGGAGGCAGAUCAGCCAACACUAGCCCUUGCUGGGA
This 837-nucleotide long non-coding RNA is filed under the name Homo sapiens (human). RNAcentral describes it as "CNIH3 antisense RNA 1 (CNIH3-AS1)". Lineage: Eukaryota; Metazoa; Chordata; Mammalia; Primates; Hominidae. The record is from RNAcentral.